AGAGUUUGAUCCUGGCUCAGGAUGAACGCUGGCGGCGUGCCUAAUACAUGCAAGUCGAGCGAACGGACGAGAAGCUUGCUUUUCUGAUGUUAGCGGCGGACGGGUGAGUAACACGUGGAUAACCUACCUAUAAGACUGGGAUAACUUCGGGAAACCGGAGCUAAUACCGGAUAAUAUUUUGAACCGCAUGGUUCAAAAGUGAAAGACGGUCUUGCUGUCACUUAUAGAUGGAUCCGCGCUGCAUUAGCUAGUUGGUAAGGUAACGGCUUACCAAGGCAACGAUGCAUAGCCGACCUGAGAGGGUGAUCGGCCACACUGGAACUGAGACACGGUCCAGACUCCUACGGGAGGCAGCAGUAGGGAAUCUUCCGCAAUGGGCGAAAGCCUGACGGAGCAACGCCGCGUGAGUGAUGAAGGUCUUCGGAUCGUAAAACUCUGUUAUUAGGGAAGAACAUAUGUGUAAGUAACUGUGCACAUCUUGACGGUACCUAAUCAGAAAGCCACGGCUAACUACGUGCCAGCAGCCGCGGUAAUACGUAGGUGGCAAGCGUUAUCCGGAAUUAUUGGGCGUAAAGCGCGCGUAGGCGGUUUUUUAAGUCUGAUGUGAAAGCCCACGGCUCAACCGUGGAGGGUCAUUGGAAACUGGAAAACUUGAGUGCAGAAGAGGAAAGUGGAAUUCCAUGUGUAGCGGUGAAAUGCGCAGAGAUAUGGAGGAACACCAGUGGCGAAGGCGACUUUCUGGUCUGUAACUGACGCUGAUGUGCGAAAGCGUGGGGAUCAAACAGGAUUAGAUACCCUGGUAGUCCACGCCGUAAACGAUGAGUGCUAAGUGUUAGGGGGUUUCCGCCCCUUAGUGCUGCAGCUAACGCAUUAAGCACUCCGCCUGGGGAGUACGACCGCAAGGUUGAAACUCAAAGGAAUUGACGGGGACCCGCACAAGCGGUGGAGCAUGUGGUUUAAUUCGAAGCAACGCGAAGAACCUUACCAAAUCUUGACAUCCUUUGACAACUCUAGAGAUAGAGC
Molecule: ribosomal RNA, 1023 nt
Filed under: Staphylococcus aureus
Lineage: Bacteria; Bacillati; Bacillota; Bacilli; Caryophanales; Staphylococcaceae
Also listed under: 6 other names
Description: bacterial SSU rRNA
Rfam family: Bacterial small subunit ribosomal RNA
Source: RNAcentral